This is a small RNA of Candidatus Atelocyanobacterium thalassa isolate ALOHA, 63 nucleotides long. It matches the Rfam family "Cyanobacterial functional RNA 1". NCBI's taxonomy places the organism in Bacteria, Bacillati, Cyanobacteriota, Cyanophyceae, Chroococcales, Aphanothecaceae. The record is from Rfam.
GCGGAAACAAUUGUUUCCGUUCACUCCUCACACCACACUCCGUCCGGCAAUGUUCGGACGGUU